Long non-coding RNA from Engraulis encrasicolus (European anchovy), 386 nucleotides. RefSeq lists it as uncharacterized. The record is from RefSeq and is a predicted model, not a curated record. Lineage: Eukaryota; Metazoa; Chordata; Actinopteri; Clupeiformes; Engraulidae. The transcript is spliced from 3 exons.
GCUGUGCUACUCUCAGCUGACUCUCCUAACAAGGUGGGCGGAGCAGUUUGUGCAAUUAACCAAUUUGGCCUUUGGUGGCAGCUUUUAAAAAUCCCCUGGCCUGACAGCGUAGUCUUGCUGCUGGUGUGCUUGUAGAGUGGGCACACGCCUGUGAGGCCACUUUGGCCACACAUGUCUGUGCCACAGGCUAAGCUUUGGCCUUGACGUAGCCAUGGCCGUACCUUCAGGUAGCAUGGCCUUUCCAGCAGUGCUACCAUUGGAGUAGGUUGUGCUGCUGUCUUGUCUUACCGGUUUUGGUUCCUUUUUUUUGUUCUUUUGUCUUGUCUUGUAGUUAAGUUAUCAUGUAUUUUAUUUUAACUAAGUUCAAGUGGUCUGUGGGCUUUGUG